AAUUCUCCCAACUCCGCCUUCCCGCAGCCCCCUCCCCAUUACCUCGGAAAGCCGCCUUGGCGAUGCGGUCGGCUCUGCCGCGGAGGCCGGAGACGGUGCGGAGCUGGAGCUGCAGAGCCAUGGGAUGGAGAAGGUCUCCCCCUGCCCCGCCGGUGAUUUAUCUUCCCCUUACACAAUUAAAUGGGAUAACGAAGGUGAGCAGGAACAACGCAGGAACCCAGCCGAGCCAACACACAGGUCCCCGACGCACGGCGCACCCGAAGCGUUCCCCCGGCUGGCUGCAAUCAGCAGAGCGAGAUUCGGAUAUGGAGGUUUUCACGUUUUCUUGAACUCAGCACAACUACCAACCCCAGCUUUCCUAACCCGUGCGCCCUGCAGAGGGGCCGGCUGUGGGGACGCGCGGUGUUUUCCCACGAGGUUUUCUGUAGAAAACUCUUAUGGGAUGGAUCAAUCCAUCCCCUCUUCCCACUAAUCCCGUGCUGGAUGAAUCCACAGCUCACUGGGAACCAGAGAAAACGGCCACAAGACCUCGAGAAUUUGGGUCAUGCUCUGGCCAGGAGAGGUGGCCGGGACAUCUCCGGAGCCAGAGCUGCAAAUCCUAGCACGAUGCAGGUGCAGGAAGGCCUCUGGAUUUCUGGUUUCUUUCCUUUUCUUUUCCUUUUCUUUCUCUCCUAUAUUUUUUUUUAAAUCUAAUUAAAUUUAAUUAAUUUAUUUAUUUUUUAUUUGCCAUAUCUCCGACCUAUCAGAUCAAGAUGCAAAUAAAGACCGGCCCCUCCAAUUCCCGCACGUCCCCGAGCUUGCGCAUUCAUCCUUGCAAGCCUAAUGGGAUUUUUUAAAAUUAUUUUAACCAAAUCUGCCUCUGUCUGUGCGUAUAAUCAUUGUCUGCACUGGUUCCAUGUAGGCGAUUCACCUUUCCCAAAGUUUUUGGGGACAGGUCCCCCAGUUACCUUCCUGGGGUAGGAAAAGAGCCCAGGGUUCGCCCUUUCACAAAGGAGCUGCCUAAAGCAAAACAACCCCCCCUU
Molecule: long non-coding RNA, 1022 nt
Filed under: Anas platyrhynchos (mallard)
Lineage: Eukaryota; Metazoa; Chordata; Aves; Anseriformes; Anatidae
Description: lncRNA (ENSAPLG00020000109.1)
Source: RNAcentral